UACGUAGGUGGCAAGCGUUGUCCGGAUUUACUGGGCGUAAAGAGCGCGCAGGCGGUCGAUCAAGUCGAGUGUGAAAGCCCCCGGCUCAACUGGGGAGGGUCACUCGAUACUGAUCGACUCGAAGGCAGGAGAGGGAAGUGGAAUUCCCGGUGUAGUGGUGAAAUGCGUAGAUAUCGGGAGGAACACCAGUGGCGAAGGCGACUUCCUGGCCUGUUCUUGACGCUGAGGCGCGAAAGCUAGGGGAGCAAACGGG
RNAcentral lists this ribosomal RNA (253 nucleotides) under uncultured bacterium. Its description in RNAcentral is "partial 16S ribosomal RNA". It matches the Rfam family "Bacterial small subunit ribosomal RNA", at positions 524 to 776 of the family's 1533-position model. The record is from RNAcentral.